UGCUCUUUUGUGAUGGGUUGUGAGAC
This 26-nucleotide non-coding RNA is filed under the name Mus musculus (house mouse). Lineage: Eukaryota; Metazoa; Chordata; Mammalia; Rodentia; Muridae. The record is from RNAcentral.